GUGGGGAAUCUUAGACAAUGGGGGAAACCCUGAUCUAGCCAUGCCGCGUGAGCGAUGAAGGCCUUAGGGUUGUAAAGCUCUUUCAGCUGGGAAGAUAAUGACGGUACCAGCAGAAGAAGCCCCGGCUAACUCCGUGCCAGCAGCCGCGGUAAUACGGAGGGGGCUAGCGUUGUUCGGAAUUACUGGGCGUAAAGCGCGCGUAUGCGGACCAGAAAGUUGGAGGUGAAAUCCCAGGGCUCAACCUUGGAACUGCCUUCAAAACUCCUGGUCUGGAGUUCGAGAGAGGUGAGUGGAAUUCCGAGUGUAGAGGUGAAAUUCGUAGAUAUUCGGAGGAACACCAGUGGCGAAGGCGGCUCACUGGCUCGAUACUGACGCUGAGGUGCGAAAGCGUGGGGAGCAAACAGGAUUAGAAACCCUGGUAGUCC
Molecule: ribosomal RNA, 425 nt
Filed under: uncultured bacterium
Lineage: Bacteria
Description: partial 16S ribosomal RNA
Rfam family: Bacterial small subunit ribosomal RNA
Source: RNAcentral